UAGGCAGUUGGGUGUGUCAAAGCCAGACUGGAAGGAUCAGGCUCUGGGGCUCAACCAGGUUUCUUUUGAUGAAUCAACCAUGCCAGUUCCAAUAUGUUCCUGCACCGGAAUUUUAAGGCCUUGCUACAAAUGGGGAAAUGGAGGUUGGCAAUCUUCAUGUUGUACAAACAAUUUGUCAAUGUAUCCAUUACCAGCGCUUCCUAACAAGCGACAUGCUAGAAUUGGUGGUCGGAAAAUGAGUGGGAGUGCAUUCACCAAGCUGCUUAGCCGCCUGGCUGCUGAAGGCCACGA
RNAcentral lists this long non-coding RNA (291 nucleotides) under Nicotiana benthamiana. RNAcentral describes it as "long non-coding RNA (NBEN_LNC036884)". The record is from RNAcentral. Lineage: Eukaryota; Viridiplantae; Streptophyta; Magnoliopsida; Solanales; Solanaceae.